RNAcentral lists this ribosomal RNA (253 nucleotides) under uncultured bacterium. RNAcentral describes it as "partial 16S ribosomal RNA". It matches the Rfam family "Bacterial small subunit ribosomal RNA", at positions 524 to 776 of the family's 1533-position model. The record is from RNAcentral.
GACGAAGGGGGCUAGCGUUGUUCGGAAUUACUGGGCGUAAAGCGCGUGUAGGCGGUUGUUCAAGUCAGGUGUGAAAGCCCCGGGCUCAACCUGGGAAUUGCAUUUGAGACUGCGUAGCUAGGGUGCGGAAGAGGGAAGCGGAAUUUCCGGUGUAGCGGUGAAAUGCGUAGAUAUCGGAAGGAACACCAGUGGCGAAAGCGGCUUCCUGGUCCAGCACCGACGUUCAGGCACGAAAGCGUGGGGAGCAAACAGG